Molecule: unclassified non-coding RNA, 170 nt
Filed under: soil metagenome
Description: partial contains 5.8S ribosomal RNA, internal transcribed spacer 2, and large subunit ribosomal RNA
Source: RNAcentral
AACGAGGCCGACCUGCGGCUGAGUUACCUGCGGAGGGAUCAUUACUGUUAAACUUUAUAAACACCAGAGUUUCAAACUCUGUGUUUGCAAACAAAAAACACCUUUCAAAACAGCUAUUCAGUGUCUGAAUUAACUAGUUUAAUAUAAAAACAACUUUCAACAACGGAUCU